UACGUAGGCAGCGAGCGUUGUUAGGAGUUACUGGGCGUAAAGCGUGCGUAGGCGGUGUCUUAAGUUUGUUGUGAAAUCUCCCGGCUUAACCGGGAGGGUGCGGCGAAUACUGAGAUGCUGGAGUGCCGGAGAGGUAAGCGGAAUUCCUGGUGUAGCGGUGAAAUGCGUAGAUAUCAGGAGGAACACCUGCGGUGUAGACGGCUUACUGGACGGUAACUGACGCUGAGGCACGAAAGCGUGGGUAGCAAACAGG
RNAcentral lists this ribosomal RNA (253 nucleotides) under uncultured bacterium. RNAcentral's name for it is "partial 16S ribosomal RNA". It matches the Rfam family "Bacterial small subunit ribosomal RNA", at positions 524 to 776 of the family's 1533-position model. The record is from RNAcentral.